AUUGUUUUGUUGUAGGAUUGAAAGAAAGCAAACAUUGUUCCUUCAGAUGUAGAACUCUACAUGUGGUUCAAUUUCCCGAUGACGCUUUUUUGAUGUAUGAAGAUGAUGAUUCCUUGACGUAUCGAGCAUUGUAUUCGUUUUCAAAAGAUAGAUCACCAGUCGAUUUCCUUACAUUCUUCCAAAAUACGGUGGGAUAAAAUUUGGAGAAGCCAGGAAUUAGUUUCAUGACCAGUUUUGUCGUGAAGUGUCUUUGGUCGAGUGGAUGUUGAAGUCUCACCAUAAUAUGUCACCUACGUAACAGUAGCCGGAGAAAUUGAUAUGUGCCAACCUAUGUAUGGUUGUUUAUAUAGCAAAACAAUACAGGGGAUGUCGCCUCGCCCACAUGACCUUUUGCAUGUCAACUUCAUACAUCAAAUUUUGAUGUGGCUAUGUGCAUAAAAUGAUAGCAGACUUUGGUAUUCAUUUUCCGCUUUACUGACCAACAAUUUUGAGACCUAAAA
Molecule: long non-coding RNA, 500 nt
Organism: Erigeron canadensis
Lineage: Eukaryota; Viridiplantae; Streptophyta; Magnoliopsida; Asterales; Asteraceae
Exons: 3
Source: RefSeq, a predicted model, not a curated record